This 165-nucleotide ribosomal RNA is filed under the name uncultured bacterium. Its description in RNAcentral is "partial 16S ribosomal RNA". It matches the Rfam family "Bacterial small subunit ribosomal RNA", at positions 1335 to 1500 of the family's 1533-position model. The record is from RNAcentral.
CUAGUAAUGGCAGGUCAGCAUACUGCCGUGAAUAACGUUCCCGGGCCUUGUACACACCGCCCGUCACACCAUGAGAGUUGGGAAUACCCGAAGCCUGUGAGCCAACAAACGAGGCAGCAGUCGAAGGUAGAAUCAAUGAUUGGGGUGAAGUCGUAACAAGGUACC